Molecule: long non-coding RNA, 9260 nt
Filed under: Homo sapiens (human)
Lineage: Eukaryota; Metazoa; Chordata; Mammalia; Primates; Hominidae
Description: HSALNT0069198
Source: RNAcentral
UUCCAAGUCCUGAUUUAGAUGAGGUACUAAUGGCUCUUACUGCUGAAUCACCUUAAAAGUCAAAUGUAUUUUUAAAAGGGAAGCUUGUUGGGUAUUGUUUAAUUGUGCAUUGCACAUUCCUGUCUUAAUAGAAAAAGAUCAUCUGUAAAACUUAUGAGAGCAGAUAGGAAAUGCCACUAUCCACAGAGCCAGUUGGGUAGAGGGAAGGGCGUUGGGUUUGAAAGAUAAUUUUCACUCGUUUGACCAAAACAAAGAGAGCAUGAUUGCACUGUGUGAAAAUGAUAUCCUCGAAUAACUCCACUAAUUUGAUUGUGCUGAGGUCUAGAAUUGUUUCUAUUUCUUUUGAUUUGCUAAUUAGCUAGAGCAGUCCGCUAGUGAGAGGGGAAAUGAGGGUCACAGCCAUAAAACAUGGAGGAUUGUUGUUCCUUCCAACUCAGCUCACCCAUCUCAUGCCUCCCCAACCAUCCCGUCCCAACGCCCAAUUUUGUCUCUGUGUAUGUAACAACAAUCCAUCCAUCUAUGACAAAUUGAGUGAUUCUUUUCUGAAAACAGGAUUUUUAAGAUUAUCUACUUUAUGACACCAAAUUUGACACAUCUUGGCAUAUGUGGUUAUGAGGUCCAGUUAUGACUUUUAUGAUGUUUUCCUUUAUGAAUCCUGCUCCCUGCCUUGCCAAGUUAAAAUUAUAUCUUAUGAUUACAUUAGUAUAAAGGUGAGUAUAUUUUCUUCUUUAUUUAAAUAUCUUCUUUAAUCUAAAAGUUUAUCUUUUUCUGAUUUUUAGAAGAAAUUAAAUCAUUUUUGGGAAGCCCUCAAGGUACCAUAAGCUCUGGGCAGUGUGCCUAAGACUUCUAAUGGAGAAUUUAGCCCUGUGCAGAUGAUAUUGCAGAGGAGGAAUGCUUAGUUAAUUUAGUUCCAGGAUACCUGUGCAGGACAUGACAUGCAGGUUUGUCAUGUAGGUAAACAUGUGCCAUGGUGGUUUGCUGCACCUGUCGACCCAUCACCUAGGUAUUAAGCCCCACAUGCAUUAGCUAUUUUUCCUGAUGUUCUCCCUCCCUCCACCCCCUUGACAGGCCACAGUGUGUGUUGUUCCCCUCCCUGUGUCCAUGAGUUCUCAUUGUUCAGCUCCCACUUAUAAGUGAGAACAUGUGACGUUUGGCUUUCUGUUCCUGUGUUAGUCUGUGGAGGAUAUUGGCUUCCAGCUCCAACCAUGUCUCUGCAAAGGACAUGAUCUCAUUCCUUUUUAUGGCUGCAUAGUAUUCCAUGGUGUAUAUGUACCAGCAGUUAGUUCUUAAAUUAAAAAAAAAAGCUUUCAUAUUUAAUCAAGUUAGGUUAUUUCAAUAUAUGCACCAUAAUGAUUAUUGUAAAGUAAGUUCUGUAAACUAAGGAAAAAUAACUAUUUUGUGCAAUCUCAGAAAAAUCUACUAGAUGGUAUGGGAAACAAGAAAGAGAAAUGAAGAGGCAAAUAAAAACAUGGCAUUUAUUGAGUAGCUGUAUGCUGGGAGAUUUGAACAUUCUCCUUUCCUUUCCCCUAAUUUUACGUACAGAGAAGUAACUUCUUGAAGGUUGUAUGUUCCAGCUUGCAACUAGCCAUGUUGGAUUUAGAAACAGGUCAAAGUCAAGUUCCAUGCUUUCUUCCUGUCUCAUGAUAGCAUUCUCUCCCAUUCUCUACCUGCACAUAUAUAUUUCAUAAAACUAGAAAGAGGACUCCACUAUAUUUUACAUCAUUUCUUCAAAUGAAGAAGAGAUCUGAGUUCUUCAUACCUUCAACAUGUACUUACAUUCCAGGAAUUUAACUAUCCGUAAGGUAUUUAAAUCCUACAUUCAUGAUAUUGUUUUAAUUGCCCUGAGUCAACUAAUUGACAAAGGAAAAUGCUAUGCUUAAAAGCUCAGUUCUCAGUGUAAUUAUUUUUCUCUCCCCACAUAUAAUCAUCCUUUAAAUAUAAAAGCUAUUAUAGAGAUGCAGUUUCCAGCAAACUUUAUCUCACAUUGAGGCCCUUGACUUUAUGUGGUGUUUCAGAUCAGCUUUUUUGUCAAGGGUCACACAUUCAUUCCAGCAUCACUUAAUUCUUUAGCUGUUAGUCUCCAUCCAGCACUAGGGUAGACCCUGGAGAUGCAAAAGCAAGCUAGAGACAGUACCCUUAUUCUCAUGGAGCUAAACAUUAGAGAGGUAUUGGUGUAUUCUUCGGAGUAUAUAAUGCCCUUUCCAGCUAUGGACUCUGCCUUUCUUUAUGUAUUCACCUCUUCCUGGAAGCCACUUUGAGUUGGCAGAAACACUCUGCCUGCCUCAGGAGACAGAGGGAAUUAUUUGUUGAUAAAUUGGGGAAGAAUGGCUCUAAAUGCUUACAUCAGCUCUGUCCUUCCUCUUGGGAAUGAGAUGCAUGCAGGGAGCAUUUAGCCUGCAAGGCUUCUCUGCUGCUCUUCAGGGAUGCUUCCCUGUAGGAGAGAGAUCUACCUGGGUCUGGGGUGGCCUCUUCCUCCCUGGAAGGAAAAAAUUGGACACGGAGAUAAGGACAGAGGAAAGAUGAUGUGAAGACAGGGGCAGAAGUCAGCCAUCUACAAGUCAAAGGGAGACAUGUGGAACAGAUUCACCCUCACAGCCCUCAGAUGGAAGCAACACCACUAACACUUUGCUCUUGGACUUCUAGCUUCCAGAACUGAGAGACAAUAUCUUUCUGUUGCUUAAGUCAUUCUGUCUGUGAUACUGUGUUUAUGGCAGCCCUGGCAAACUAAUACAGUCCCACAAAGAUUUGGUUGUUGCUUUGCAAGAGAAUGUAUAAUUCCUGGUUAUUUCUACAAAUAAGGGCAUUGACUUUAUAAAGCUACAAGUAUACCCCAGUAUUCUGUUUCUGGUUUUUGUUUACUUUCAUAUAUGCUAUCUUUUCAUUCCCAGGUGAAAUCAUAGUGCAUUUUAAAUGAUAUUUUAAAGAGCAAUUAUACUCGUCAUAUGUACUUCAAAUAAUACUGAUUCCUCAAUUGAAGUAAUGGUAACAUGAGUGUAUUAGUUAAUUUUUUCUGAAUAACUAGUUACCUCCAAAGUUCAUGCCUUCAAGCAACACAUAUUCAUUAUUUCACAGCUUCUUUGGGUCAGGAGUCUUGGCAUAGCUUAGCUGAGUCCUCUGGCUCCUGGCGUCCCAGGCUGUAAUCAAGGUGGUGGCCAGGACUGUAGUCAUGUCAGGGCUCGCCAGGGAAGGAUCUGCCUCCAAGCUAACCAGUGUGGCUUUUGGCAGAAUAUAUUUCUAUGCAGGUUGUUGGACUGAGUUUCUUGCUGGCUGUUCCAGAGGUUCCCUUAGCAUCUUGUCGUGUGGCCUCUUCAUAGGUCAAUUCAUAUUGGCUUCAUCAAAGUGAGCAGGUAAGAUAGCAAAAGAGAAUGCCCAAGAUAGAAGCCAUAGUCUUUUUGUAAUCUAAUCUUAGAAGUGACAGCCUGUUAUAUUUGCUAUAUUCUCUUUGUUAGAAACAAGUUUCUAGGGCUGGGCAUGGUGGCUCACAUCUGUAAUCCCAGCAUUUUGGGAGGCCGAGACAGGCAGAUCACCUGAGGUCAGGAGUUCGAGACCAGCCUGGCCAACAUGGCGAAAUCCUGUCUCUACUAAAAAUACAAAGCCGAGUGUGGUGGCGCAGGCCUGUAAUCCCAGCUACUUGGGAGGCUAAGGCAGGAGAAGCACUUGAACCUGGGUGGUGGAGGUUGCAGUGAGCCAAGAUUGUGCCACUGCACUCCAGCCUGGGUGACAGAGUGAGACUCCAUCUCAAAAAACAAACAAACAAAAAACCAAAUUACUAGGUUUGUCUCAUUCUCAAGGGAAGAGUUUACUCAAGAGAAUAAAUACCAGGAGGUUGGGAUCACUGGAGGCCAGUUUAGAGUCUGCCUACCAAUAGGAGCAAGGCCAUCAAUGUCAGUCAGUGACAUCAACAUCAUGUAGACUGCUUGGCCAACAGUAAUGCUAAAAUGCCAUCAAUCUUGAGAUCAUCUUCAUCUCAUAAAUAUUAACAUGUAAAAAAAGUCAUUUUAAAGUAAAGAAAAUAUGUUAUUUUUUAACAUUUGAAACAGCCCCUGAAGUCAUGUUUUAGAACAUUUUCUCAUCAUUUUUUGUGUGACUUUUAUAAUAUCUUUUAUAUUAUAUGUUAUAAUAGGGAAUAAAGAAAGUAAAAUAACUCCAAAUCAAAUUUUGAGCACUUACCAAUUAUUAAAUCAUUUAAACAGUCAGGAAAUGGAUACUACUGUGUUCUAGAAAUGGGUACCAACUCUCAAAAUGUUUCACAUACUCAUGGAAAUAACAUGGCUUUAAUGGAAGGGCUUAGGGAGUUCUGCUUCAAGCUGGCUGAUCAGAAAAAGGAGAAGCCUCAGAAAGGAAGUGGGAUCUGUACAUGCACCCAGGAAGCACAGCUUUAGUGUCAAUGGAGAAGUUUCGAAUAGCAAAAUUCUCCACUGAACUUGCUGAAAGCACGAGAGGAGAAAGAAGCAUUUGCAGGCCCAGAUGAUACCUAAGAGAGGACUGUGCAUUGCUUUUCAACCUCCACAUGUCAGUACUCAAGGGAUAAGCUGAAUUUUAAAAAUUUACUUUUGUAUUUGUUUCAUUGUAUAUUACUACCUGUUCACUAUAGCUAAUUGGGAAACUUACAAAAAUUAGAAAUAAUAAGAUUCCUCUUUCCCCAAAGUCACCACUAUCCUGAAUUUUAAAACUAGAGCUUACUUUUGCAAUCUUGACACUUUAUUUCACUACCGUCAUAUAGUAUCCUUCUGUGUCUCAGUCCUUUUUCUUUUUUUGACAUUGUUAUGAAGUUCAUCCAUGUUGUUGCAUGGGCUAAGGCUCAUUUUUAUUGCUGAAUAAUGUCAUAUUGUAUGAAUGUACUAAAUAUUCUUAGUCAUCCUUCUGUUGAGGGUAUUUGUGCUGUUUCCAGUUAGGACUUUCACAAAUCAUGGUUUCAUGAACAUUCUUUGUGAUGGCUAAUAUCAGGUGUCAACUUGAUUAGAUUGAGGGAUGCCUAGAUGGCUGGUCAUUGUUUCUGGGUGUGUCUGUGAGGGUGUUGCCAGAGGAGAUUGAUAUUUGAGUCAGUGGACUGGGAGAGGAAGAUCUCAUGCUCCUCAAUGUGAGUGGGAACCAUCCAAUCCAUGGCCAGCAGUCCUCUCUCAGACAAAAACAAAGCAGGUGGAAGAAGGUGGGAUAAGUUGGCUUGCUGAGUCUUCUGGCUUUCAUCUUUCUCCUGUGCUGGAUCGUUUUUGUCCUUGGACAUCAGACUCCAUGUUCUUCCGCCGUUGGACUCUUGGACUUACAGCAGUAGUUUUGCUGGGGGCUUUUGGGCCUUUGGCCACAGACUGAAAACUGCACUGUCAGCUUCUUUGGUUUUGAGGCUUUUGGACUCAGACUGAGGCACUAUUGGCUUCUUUCUUCCCCAGUUUGCAGAAGUCAUAUUGUGGACUUUGCCUUGUGAUCGUGUGAGCCAAUUCUUCCUAAUAAACUCUCUUUCAUAUAUACAUAUAUCCUAUUAGUUCUGUUCCUCCAGAGAACCCUGACUAAUAUACUCAUAGAUAUGCUUUUUGGUACACGAUUUCAAGCAUAUAUUUGGUGUAAACCUAAGAGUGAGAUUGUCACAUCACAGGACUUUCAAAUGCUCAACUUGAAUGGUUAAUGUUGAACUGCUUUCCAAAGAAGUGAGGCCAACUCAUACCCUACCAGUCAUGUUUCUCUGUUUUUUUUUCAAAGAUUUUGGUAGUAUCAGUCUUUGCAAUAUUAGCCAUUUUGUUGAGUAGGUAGUAGUGUGUCAUUUUGGUUUUCACUGGAUUUUGUGAUGACAAAUGAAGUUGAACACUUUUACUUAGCUAUACUUUCAGUUUAGUUUACUUGUAAUUAGUUACAGUGUUUAAUGGCUGUUUGGGUCUCUUCUUUCAUGAAGUGCCUAUUCUUGUCUUUUGCCUAUUGUUUCCUAUUGGCUUGUUUGCAUUUUUGUUAGUGAUUUCUAAAAAGUCUCUAUAUAUUUGGGAUAAGUGGCUGUGACUCAGUUUUAUAACGUAUAAAAUAGAAAUAAUAAUGCUCCCCACAUAUGACAUUGUUAUGAGGAGUGUAUUAGUUAAUACACAGAAAAGCUUCAAGCCAAAUGUGGCACAGAGUAAGUGCUCAGUAUUAUUGUGCUUAGCCGAAAGAACACUGCUAAGAACUGUGGACACAGAAAUCCAAAGAGGCCUUCUAACUUCCAUUCAACACAUUUUGCCUUGCACAACAACUUCUCAGAAGUUCUGAAACUCACUAUACUUGCCCCUAAUUGUGCCCCAGUACUAGCUUUAGUGAGAAGUACUGUGAUAAUUUUGUUACAAUCCCAACACUAUUUUUUAAAAUUGUAUUUUUCCUUGUAGAAGAAGGCAGUUUUCAAGCUGCAAAUUGAUAGGGAAGCACUUAUUCUCACAGGCACUGCAUGGUACAAUUGGCAUUUAGCAUGUUCAUUGCAAAAGUUUUAAAAGAAUAGCACUGCAGCAGGAGAAAGAGGAAGACAACGACAAUAACAACAACAACAAAGCAAAGUAAAAACUACUCCCUGAAUGCAGAAAUAAAAUGUAUUAAAAAUUAAAGGGUGCACAAUGGGAGCAAUUAAGUGUUUUAGGCCAAGUGCCCAUUCUUGCCUCAUCCAAAUUCCCUUGGUUCACUGGCCACAUUUAAGAAAAAAGGGACAAUUUUUAUCUUCUGCCCUAGUGAAAAUUGUUUUGCUCCCAGUAGCCAGACAAUAAAAAUUUCCUAUAAACAAAUAAACACACUUUAAUCACCGUGGUUAUUCUCCUUCUAUCAGUGGAAUUUUCACAGAUAAAGUUUGUUGAGGAGGAUAGAAAAACCACAAUUUAGGCCUUUGAAACCAAAAAUGACAGAAAAAUCUUUCAUUUAUUAUUCCUCGUGGACAAUAGCUCUUAAUAUCUUCCUUCUAGGUUUCUUAAUUAAAUUCAGCUUCUUAUAUUUUUCUCUUGAUUCACCCACUUUCAUUCCCAGAUUAACCUAGAUCUUCAUAACUAUAAUUUCUCAACUGUAAAAUUUCAUUUACCUCAUUUAAAUUUCUGUAGAUUUCUCUCCCCAAGUGGAAAGUUUGAUUAUUCACUCUUUCACCUUUCUCCCCAGGCAAUAAAACUAUGCUGCUUAGACUAGUGCUAACUGAUUUAUAAACAGUCAAAUAAAUUGCAUUAUUCUGUAUAAUUCAUAUAUGUGUGAAUAUAGAGUGACUUUAGAAAGUGACAGUGAUAGUCCUAGCCUGUGAAGAAUGGCCACCAUCUUCAAAGAUCCUUCUGAAGCGUUAUCUUUUCCACACAAUCUCUGAUUUCUUCUUGGGGAAAGGACUAGUUUUCUCUUUCAAAUCCCCCAGCAUGUCUCCAAGGGCAUUAUAGUUGAUUAGUUCAUUUUUUCCUGAUCAUCUGCUCCCUGCAUCUCCAUAGAGGAUGAGACAUACCUGCCUCUUGCUAUAUGACUUUCAGUGGCCCCCUGUGCUUUUCUGUCACUGGUGCCAGGCUUGGCCAAGUGACAUUCUUCAGUCAACGGAAGGGGAGCAGAUUAGUUCCUUCUGAGAGGAAGUUUUCAAAGGCAUUAUAAGUUUUUACCAGCUUCAUUGCUCUUUUCCUGUGCCAAGUUCCUUCGGCUUGGUCCCAAGAAUGAGAAGGCACAUGGAACCAUGGGACCUGAGCUGUGGCCUCCUACAUGUGACAUGAGCAAGAAAGAAAUAUCUGAGGUUUGGGGGUCAUUGGUUACUUCAGCACUUAGCACUUUAUUGAAAUUGUUUGUUUGUUUGUCUUAUUCAAGGUGCAUUCAGGAAAUGCAUCUUCUUCGUUGGAUGUCUGCAUAGUCUGGAGCUUGGCAGUUGGUGGGAGCUAAUAAAUGUUUGUGGAAUAAGUGAAUGAUUCAAUGAAGAUCUCCAAUGAGAAGCAUCUAUUAUCUGCCAUGGCAAUUGUGCUGACUGGAGAAUGUUUCUUACCCUGAGCAGAAAUUGAAUCCUCCUGUACUUCCACUAUGGGUUUUAGUUAUAUCCCUUAGGCUCCUAUAAAACCGUCUAAUUCCUCAUCCAUAUGACAGCCCUCUAAUGCCUGAAAGCAGUGCUACUAUUCAUCUUAGGAUUUUAUCUUUGCAGAAUAGGUAUUCCCAGUCCUUAUCCAUUUUGGUAUCUCCCAUGGUUUUAAUGUCCUUGGUUUCCUGGGGGUCCUCUUUGCAGGUGCUCUUGAUGCAUGUCUCUCUUAGCACAUGGGAUCUGCAAUUAGCAUCAUUAUCCAUGUGUGGUCAGAGUAGCACAGGGUGAGGAAAGAGUGUCUCCUCCCUCUGUCUAGACAAAUUAUACUGAGUCUAACACAGCCUCCAGUUGCCUUCACUGGUCUUGGCAGCCCCAUCAUGCUGCUGACCCAUGUGGAGUCAACCAAAUCCCUUAAGUCUUUUCCAGGAGCCUUUAUUGUCAAGCUCUGCCUCAACUUGUGCAGGUGGUUUGGGGAAUCCAAAUGUAGAUCUUUAUACUUUUCCCUGUUUGCCUACUCCCCUCAUUUCAUCUAGUUACUGAUUUCUGUCUACAGUAUUUUGGGAAAUGAAGGCUUUGGUUUCUGGGAAAGGAAAUGCAGCAGGUAGUCCACACAAAGGAGAAACAACUGUGUCUUGUUAAUCCUGGUAUGGCUAGAGAGCUCCAUUUUCAGGUUCUGCAAUGUAUACUUCACUAUGUGAGGUAGCUCAUUUCUAGUACUGUACUGUCUUUGCUUGGUUUCUCAGGGGGAAUAGAAGAGUAGCAUCAAUAGCACACACCAACAAGAAGCUCUAUGUGUGACAUAUAGACUGACUGUAAGGUGUUCCCCAUAACCCCUGCUUCCCGGUAAUCAUGCUCUUUGAUUAUCCCCUUGGCUUGAGUAUAGACAUGUCCUGUAACUUGCUUCUAUCCAAUGGAAUAUGGCAAAGCCAAUGGGAUAUAUGUGAUUGCAUGUACAUAAUUAUAUUUGGUGUGAUUGUAACAUUGCUUCCUUGCUGGCUGUGAGGAGCAAGGUUCUAGGCUGUGAUCUGUUCCCUGGGAAGAGGCCACAUAGUCAGAAACUGAGGGCAACUUCUAGCUGACAGCUAGCAAGAAGCUAAGGCCCUCAACCUGACAGCUUGCCAGAAACAGGAUGCUAUCAACAACCAAAUGGGCCUGGAAAAUGAUGCUUUCCCAGUCCACCCUUGAAGUGAGGUUGCAGCACUGGCUGAUGCCUUGAUUGCAGCUUCCAGAUGAGACUCUGAGGCAGAUGAUUCAACAAAGCCAGGCCCGACUCCUGAUCCAUGGAAACUGUGAUAUA